Molecule: long non-coding RNA, 5378 nt
Organism: Acinonyx jubatus (cheetah)
Lineage: Eukaryota; Metazoa; Chordata; Mammalia; Carnivora; Felidae
Exons: 4
Source: RefSeq, a predicted model, not a curated record
UCUCUAAUUCUUAAAUUGUGCUCUUUUGCCUUAAUCUCUCUCUUUUUUUCUGCUUCAUUAUUCUCCCUAAGUUUGUCCUCUGUGUUGCUGAUUCUCUGUUCUGCCUCAUCCAUCCUUGCUGCUGCGGCACCCAUUCGUGAUUGCAGCUCAGUUAUAGCAUUUUUUAUUUCAUCCUGACUAGUUUUUACUUUUUUUUAUCUCUGCAGAAAGGGAUUCUAAUCUGUUUUCAACUCCAGCUAGUAUUCUUAUUAUCGUGAUUCUAAAUUCUGGUUCAGACAUCUUGCUUGUAUCUCUGUUGGUUAAGUCCCUGACUGUCGUUUCUUCCUGCUCUUUCUUUUGGGGUGAAUUCCUUCAUUUCAUCAUUUUGAAGGAAGAAAAGGAAUUAAUGAGGUAGAAAAAAUUAAAAUUAAAAAAUAUUAAAAUUAAAAAAUUAAACACACACACAUACAAAAUCGAAUAAAUGAUGCUAGAUCCUAGGUGUGUUUUGGUCUGGGUGUUGAAAGUGGCUUGAAAGGGGCACCUGGGUGGCUCAGUGGGUUGAGCGUCUGACUUUGGCUCAGGUCAUGAUCUCACGGUCUGUGGGUUCAAGCCCCGCGUGGGGCUCUGUGCUGACAGCUCAGAGCCUGGAGCCUGUUUUGGAUUCUGUGUCUCCCUCUCUCUCUGACCCUCCCCUGUUCAUGCUCUGUCUCUCUCUGUCUCAAAAAAUAAAUAAACAUUAAAAAAAAUAAAAAAAAAAGUGGCUUGAUAGAUUAGAGAAAAAGGGGAAAAAAAGAAAAAAAGGAAAUAGUUUGAAAAUUUGAAAAAAAUGAAUGCACUGAAGUAGACUAAAUUGAAAUGAUGGAAGUAAAAUAGAAUUUGAAAAAAUAUACACAAAAAUAAAGAAUAUAGUAGAAAAAAAUGAAAGAAAAAUAUUUUUAAUAAAAAUUAAAAAUAAAAAUGAAUUUUUUCUCUUUAUUCAAGAAAAAGAAAAGAAAUGAAAAAGAGAAAAAUGAAAAAAAAGGAAAUUGUUUGAAAAUUUGAAAAGUUAAUACACUGAAGUAGACUAAAAUAAAAUGAUGGGAGUAAAAUGGAAUUUCAAAAAUUUACACAAAAAUAAAAAAUACAGUAAAAAAAUUGAAAAUAUUUUUAAUAAAAAUUGAAAAUAAAAAUGAAUUUUUUCUCUUUUUUUUGCUGAAUUCUGUGGUUCAGGUUGUGCAGAUAGUUUUGUUAAUCAUCAGAUCAGUUUUAUAGGUGUGCAGGAUGGUUUAGUGUUGGUCUGGCUGUAUUUCAUUGAUGCAAGACACACAAAAAACUUCCAUGCUGUUCCACCAUCUUGACUCCCUCCAAGUCUGGGCACUUUUUAAUCUGGACCCUGGUGAGGGUGAGUCCUUUAGAAAUGUUUCUCAGUUUGUACUAAAGCCUUGUGGAUCUCUGGACACGAGCCCUAUUGACUUUGAAAACACAAUGUUUUGGAGGCUCAUCCUUCAGAUGCAGGUCUUAAGAUUUGGUGUUCCCAUGGGGUGCAUGUGUGGCUCAGUCAGUUGAGUGUUCAAGUUCAGCUCAGGUCAUGAUCUCACAGUUCAUGAAUUCGAGCCCUGCAUCGGGCUCUGUGCUGGCUUUAGAUUCUGUGUCUCCCUCUCUCUCUGCCCCUUCCCUGCUUGUGCUCUGUCUGGCUCUCUCUCAAAAAUAAAUUAAAAAAAAAGAUUUGGGGUUCCCAAUAUUGGUUUCAUACCUUUUGCUCCUCAGAGAGAAGCUCAGUAUUUUGAGCUCCCGCACCGUUGUGAGUUGCCACCCCAGGGUGUGGUUUAUGGUGAGACUGUCUUCUUCUCCCUGCUUGGAUGUGGGUUUCUUCUCAUUUGCUGGAUAUGUAGGAGUCUCUCAGCUAGUUUUAGCUUUGUUUGUUUGCUUUUUUUUUCCAGAGGAAAUUGUGCCACAUGUAGUUGUAGAUUCGGUGUGUCCACGGGAGGAGAAGAAUUCAGGAUUUUUCUUUGUGGCCAUCAUGAACCACAGCAUCUUUAGUGAAUUGUCCUUCGUGGCCAUCAUGAACCACAACAUCUUUAGUGUAUAGACAUGUUUGAACCCAUAAGGAUCAGACUGUUGAGCAGUUGUUGAUGCCAGCCAUCAAAUCAGGAUUUAAAUAGCUUUGGUGAUGGGGUGCCUGGGUGUCUCAGUUGGUUGAGUGACCGACUUUGGUUCAGGUCAUAAUCUCAAGGUUUGUGAGUUUGAGCCCCACGUCAGGCUCACUGUUGUCAUCAUAGAGCCUGCUUGGGGUCCUGUUUCCCCCAGCAGCCUCUCUCUGCCCCUCCCCCACUCACACUCUCUCUCUCAAAAAUAAAUAAACAUUCUUAAAAAAUAGCUUUGGGGGCACCUGGGUGGCUUGGUUGGUUAAACUAAAUUCAGCUCAAGUCAUGAUCUCACAGUUCUGUGAGUUUGAGCCCAGUAUCGGGCUCUGCACAGACAGUGUGGAGCCUGCUUGGGAUUGUCUCUCUCCCUCUCUGUGUCUCAAAAUAAAUAAGUAAAGUUAAAAAAUAUAGCUUUGGCAAAACAUCUUCCAUGGAACCUAUUUCAGCUUAAGGUGGUUAAUCAGAAAUUUUAUAUUAUAAGGGCUUACCCUUCUUUGGAGGAUGUGAUGCAUUGCCCAGACCCCUGCUUAAGGAUUAAAGGGCUCAGUCCCCUAGCUACUGAGAAGGUUGUUGGCUAAUAUCUGUCUUUGGGAAUUGCCACCUGGUGGAGCCCAAGGUUACACCCGCCCCCUGGGGGCAGCCUUCAUCCCAUGGUGCUAAAAUAUAAAAGCCCCUCCCCCUCUCCUGGCUGGGGAGAAGAACUCGGAAGGGCCAUUCUUGGUCCAGACUUCCCUCUGGGAUUGGCUGAGACUUGUUGUACCUGCUCCAUAGCCCAGCUUCCCCCUCUGCCCUAUCCUGCUCUGUUCCCUUUCUCCCAUGGGCAUUGAACCAAGGGCACUCCCAAAUACACCUCUGUACCCAAAUCAGCAUCUCAGAGUCUGCUUCCUGGGGAACACAGCCUGCGAAACCAGGUCUCAGUAGGAGGUGAAAAAAAAAUAGUUCUCAGAUCCUUAUUGUGUGAGAAAAGACUCACUUUUGAGAUUUUCUGCCUUUGAUCAUUAAAAAGGAAAGAGAAAAAAAUGACCCUUUUGGAAAUUUGCUCAGUCUUUCUGCUGAACCAGACACUCUGCUCUAUAUUGUUUCCCUUUAUUUACUAACUUUCACCCUGAUUUUAAUUUAUCUCAAAAUAAGAAAAGCCAAACCUUCUUGAGCCCAUUUUUGCAAGUGUAAUUUGUUGCAGAACAGAAAAUGACAGGAGGACCUUGAAGGACAAGGCAUUUGUUGGAACAAGAAAUGCAGAACAUUAUAGCAGAAUGGAGUACUUUUGGUAAUGAUGCAUGGGGUUGAAAUGAUGUGAAAGGGAGGUCAUUUAACCAUGUAAAUUGAAUGAAGGAGCAUUCCAUGAGAAUGACCCCAGGCUCCAGUUUUCAGAACAAGAAGGUGGUAGGUCUCAGAAUGAGGUCACCCUAGCACACGUGGCACUGAGUCCAUCCGUCCACUUGGGUUUGGCAACCUGGUUUAAUUCUCUGCUGGAGCAUGGAUUAGUUUUCAUCUCAACAGUCCUUCUGCUUCUCGGAGGGUAAAAAAUAGGCCCAUUUUACAAUAUACUGCAAGGUAUCUCAGGGUAAGAGCUAUGUUAGGGAAGGAGGAUUUUCACAAACAAAUUGGCGACUCAAUUGGAGCUGGAGUUGCUGUUGAAGGUCUCAGGAACAGGUUAAAACAGUUGCAUUUGCUGGAGAAAAGGAAGAGGAGGAAGGGCUGUUAACCGUUGUCAUUGUUUUUUCUCCAGUAUUUCCUACCAAGCAACUGCUUUGGGAUAAUAACAAAAUGAUUUCACUAUGGAAAAAAAAUGCAGAGAAAAGGAACUGGAGCUGUUUGAUUGGCUAAUAAUGAACAUAAAGGACUUCAUGCUUGUUGAAUGGCAGAUUGAAAUCCACACGAUGACCAGACCUGAACCCCAGAUGCAAUCUAAUCAGCAAAGAAGACCCCCCCAAGGAUUUUCACCUUUUGAGACAUAGAUACAGUGCUUCUGUGUCACAUCCCUGGUAUCUACGUCAUGCCGUCUUGUAUUACGUUUCUUGGAUAUUUUAACCUUUAAAUGGCUAAACUUGUCUGCAAAAAAAGCCUGCUCCCUGGCCACAAAGGGUUAGCACUGGAGAGCUGCAGAGAGGAGGCUGGAGAUUGGUCCUGAGAACACACCAGAGCUUUUCAGGGAAACAAUGGAGGAAAAAGAAAAAAAUACAAGGGAGGUCUCCUGAUAAAUGGUGCCUUUCAGGAUGUCAGCCCAAUGAAAAAUGAGAUCUGGUGGUUUCAAACUUGGGCCAGUGGUGGUGAGUAAUUAAUGGCCAACUCAUUUGAACUUGUGUGCUUGAUCUAAUUUGGGAUAUUGAGAGUUCACACUGAUUUGCCUUUAAAAAGAAUGUCACUGUCAAAUAAGGUGAUUGUAUAAGAUUGAUAUGGAGAGCCCUGACUUGGAUGUAUAGCACAAUUUAUAUUUAGAGAGGCAGGAGCAGUGUUAUUCCUAAGCGUGUGUGUAGCGGUGCCACCAUAUCUGGAGGGAAAGCUGGUGUCCUUUCUAUACAGGAUUUAAACAGGGAUCACUUCAGGUAUAAAUGGUAGAUGGUAUUUAUUUUUUCAAGCACAUCACAAAUAUGUCUUAAAUGUCUUUUUGCUGUGUUCAGACCUGUGGAUAAAACAGUAAUACAGUAUGGCCUCUGCUUUUGUAUUACCUCUGUUGUGGUUGGGGAAGAAUGGGAAGGCAAAGAACAAAUAGCACAAAUCAGUACAAUAAUUGCAAUAAGAAUGAUAAAUGCUGUGAAGGAAACAUACAAGGAGCAUGAUUUAAGGAGUUACGGGGUGGUAGAUAUAAUCUUUAACAAGGGACCUAACCUUUUUGAAUAUACUCUUUGUAAAUUAUAAAGGACUGUAUAUACAUGAAUUAUCAUCACCCAGUUAUGUGCAGUCCUACUGGUUGCCUCAGUGAAUCUGCCACCUUGAAUCACUGUUAGUGGUCCAUCUGGGUGAUCCCGUUUCGAAGAACCAAAUACCAAGAGGAUUGCUCUUUGGUUGUGGCUUCUCAGAAGCCUUUGCAAAGCUUAUUACUGCUCUAAUGAGUCCAAAGGGUGGCUUUCUUUUCUUGGGCCUGCUAUGGGAUUUCUGCUAACCUUUGUUUAGGUCUAAAAUUGAGGGUCUUACCUGGAGACAUAAGGUGGUACAGGGUAGAUCAAGAUCUAGUUCUGGUAUCAGAAGUCUGGUGUUCCAUUCCUAGCUUUACCCCUUACUGGUUUCUUGACUUUAGUCAACUUACAGAUUUUUCCAAACAUCUACUCCUUGUCA